GAGUUUGAUCCUGGCUCAGAGCGAACGUUAGCGGCGGGCCUAACACAUGCAAGUCGAACGAGAAUGAGGGGGCAACUCCUCUAGUAAAGUGGCGGACGGGUGCGUAACACGUGGGUAAUCUACCUUCCGGCGGGGGACAACAGUCCGAAAGGAUUGCUAAUACCGCAUACGUCAGCGAGAUCUACGGAUCUUGUUGGGAAAGAUGGCCUCUCCUUGGAAGCUGUCACCGGAAGAUGAGCCCGCGGCCCAUCAGCUAGUUGGUGAGGUAACGGCUCACCAAGGCGAAGACGGGUAGCUGGUCUGAGAGGAUGAUCAGCCACACUGGGACUGCGACACGGCCCAGACUCCUACGGGAGGCAGCAGUGGGGAAUAUUGGGCAAUGGGCGAAAGCCUGACCCAGCCACGCCGCGUGAGUGAUGAAGGCCUU
Molecule: ribosomal RNA, 427 nt
Filed under: uncultured delta proteobacterium
Lineage: Bacteria; Deltaproteobacteria
Description: bacterial SSU rRNA
Rfam family: Bacterial small subunit ribosomal RNA
Source: RNAcentral